Molecule: ribosomal RNA, 402 nt
Filed under: uncultured bacterium
Lineage: Bacteria
Description: bacterial SSU rRNA
Rfam family: Bacterial small subunit ribosomal RNA
Source: RNAcentral
UGGGGAAUCUUGCGCAAUGGGCGAAAGCCUGACGCAGCCAUGCCGCGUGAAUGAUGAAGGUCUUAGGAUUGUAAAAUUCUUUCACCGGGGACGAUAAUGACGGUACCCGGAGAAGAAGCCCCGGCUAACUUCGUGCCAGCAGCCGCGGUAAUACGAAGGGGGCUAGCGUUGCUCGGAAUUACUGGGCGUAAAGGGAGCGUAGGCGGACAUUUAAGUCAGGGGUGAAAUCCCGGGGCUCAACCUCGGAAUUGCCUUUGAUACUGGGUGUCUUGAGUGUGAGGGAGGUAUGUGGAACUCCGGGUGUAGAGGUAAAAGUCGUAGAUAUGCAGAAGACCACCAGUGGAGAAGGCGAGAUGCUGGCUCAUUACUGACGCUGAGGGUAGAAAGCGUGGGGAGAAAGCA